This 500-nucleotide ribosomal RNA is filed under the name uncultured bacterium. Its description in RNAcentral is "partial 16S ribosomal RNA". It matches the Rfam family "Bacterial small subunit ribosomal RNA", at positions 30 to 523 of the family's 1533-position model. The record is from RNAcentral.
AUUGAACGCUGGCGGCAGGCCUAACACAUGCAAGUCGAGCGGAUGAGGGAAGCUUGCUUUCCGAUUUAGCGGCGGACGGGUGAGUAAUGCCUAGGAAUCUGCCUAUUAGUGGGGGAUAACGUUCCGAAAGGAACGCUAAUACCGCAUACGUCCUACGGGAGAACGUGGGGGAUCUUGGGACCUACCGCUAAUAGAUGAGCCUAGGUCGGAUUAGCUAGUUGGUGAGGUAACGGCUAACCAAGGCGACGAUCCGUAGCUGGUCUGAGAGGAUGAUCAGCCACACUGGAACUGAGACACGGUCCAGACUCCUACGGGAGGCAGCAGUGGGGAAUAUUGGACAAUGGGCGAAAGCCUGAUCCAGCCAUGCCGCGUGUGUGAAGAAGGUCUUCGGAUUGUAGAGCACUUUAAGUUGGGAGGAAGGGUUGUAAGCUAAUAUCUUGCAGCCUUGACGUUACCAACAGAAUAAGCACCGGCUAACUCUGUGCCAGCAGCCGCCGUAA